RNAcentral lists this ribosomal RNA (1182 nucleotides) under human gut metagenome. Its description in RNAcentral is "bacterial SSU rRNA". It matches the Rfam family "Bacterial small subunit ribosomal RNA", at positions 332 to 1520 of the family's 1533-position model. The record is from RNAcentral.
CAGACUCCUACGGGAGGCAGCAGUAGGGAGUAUUCGGCAAUGGGGGAAACCCUGACCGAGCAACGCCGCGUGAAUGAUGAAGGUCUUCGGAUUGUAAAAUUCUGUGGUAAGAGAAGAAAGAUAUAAAGAGGAAAUGCUUUGUAUUUGACGGUAUCUUGCUCGAAAGCCACGGCUAACUACGUGCCAGCAGCCGCGGUAAUACGUAGGUGGCAAGCGUUAUCCGGAAUUACUGGGCGUAAAGAGUGAGCAGGCGGUUAGAUAAGUCUAUGGUUAAAUGCAACAGCUCAACUGUUGUUCGCUAUAGAAACUAUUUAACUAGAGUGCGGGAGAGGUAAGUGGAACUCCAUAUGUAGCGGUGGAAUGCUUAGAUAUAUGGAAGAACACCAGAGGCGAAGGCGGCUUACCAGUCCGUAACUGACGCUCAGUCACGAAAGCGUGGGGAGCAAAUAGGAUUAGAUAUCCUAGUAGUCCACGCCGUAAACGAUGAGAACCUGAUGCAGGAGAUAUUCUGUGUCGAAGCUAACGCGUUAAGUUCUCCGCCUGGGUACUACGUUCGCAAGAAUAAAACUUAAAGGAAUUGACGGGCGCCCGCACAAGCAGUGGAGCAUGGGGUUUAAUUCGUCGAUACACGAAAAACCUUACCAGGGCUUGACAUCCCGCUAAAAGCCUUAGAAAUAAGGAAAUAGUUAUAGCGGUGACAGGUGGUGCAUGGUUGUCGUCAGCUCGUGCCGUGAGGUGUUAGGUUAAGUCCUCAAACGAGCGCAACCCUUGUCUUUAGUUGCCAUUAUUAAUUUAGGAACUCUAGAGAGACUGCCGGCGCAAGCCGGAGGAAGGCGGGGAUGACGUCAAAUCAUCAUGCCCUUUAUGCCCUGGGCCACACCCGUGCUACAAUGGUCGGUACAAAGAGAAGCAACACUGUGAGGUGAAGCAAAUCCCAUAAAGCCGAUCUCAAUUCGGAUUGAAGUCUGCAACUCGACUUCAUGAAGCUGGAAUUGCUAGUAAUCGCAGAUCAGCAACGCUGCGGUGAAUACGUUCUCGGGCGUUGUACACACUGCCCGUCACACCAUGAGAGCCGGUAAUACUCGAAGUCGUUAGCCUAACCGUAAGGAGGGCGGCGCCUAAGGUAGGACUGGUGAUUGGGGUUAAGUCGUAACAAGGUAUCCCUACGAGAACGUGGGGAUG